UACGGGGGGAGCAAGCGUUGUUCGGAUUUACUGGGCGUAAAGGGCGCGUAGGCGGCCACCGCAAGUCGACUGUGAAAUCUCCGGGCUUAACCCGGAAAGGUCAGCCGAUACUGCGGGGCUAGAGUGCAGAAGGGGCAACUGGAAUUCUCGGUGUAGCGGUGAAAUGCGUAGAUAUCGAGAGGAACACCUGCGGCGAAGGCGGGUUGCUGGGCUGACACUGACGCUGAAGUGCGAAAGCCAGGGGAGCGAACGGG
This 254-nucleotide ribosomal RNA is filed under the name uncultured bacterium. Its description in RNAcentral is "partial 16S ribosomal RNA". It matches the Rfam family "Bacterial small subunit ribosomal RNA", at positions 524 to 776 of the family's 1533-position model. The record is from RNAcentral.